RNA transcript from Lethenteron reissneri (Far Eastern brook lamprey), 4699 nucleotides. It is a transcript of the gene named transcription factor MafB-like, with no coding region annotated. The record is from RefSeq and is a predicted model, not a curated record. NCBI's taxonomy places the organism in Eukaryota, Metazoa, Chordata, Hyperoartia, Petromyzontiformes, Petromyzontidae.
UUUGCAGGGGAGAGCCUCUCCCCACUGCUUCACUUGCAAGGCAACUCUCUUGUUGUUGGCUGCCCUUCACUAUCUCCCUCUCUCUCUCCCUCUCUCUGUGUGUGUGUCCAACAAGGCACAUCACCGCAGCAGCAGCAGCAACAACAACAUAAUAAUAACAAUAGAUGCUUUCGUGUUUUUUUUUAAUCAAGCACUGGCUUGGGAGCUUCGCAUUAGCGGCGAAAAAGUGUGCGAGGAAAGUUGGUGCAAGUCUCUGAAAGUAAAUGUAGGGUUUGUUUUUAUUUGAAACUAAUUUUAUUUUUUACUUUUUUUUCGAGUCACAUUUAAAGGAGGGACAUUUGCGGAAGCAUGUAAAAAAGUCAUCGAACAAGCGUUGGUCCUCGGCCACAGAGACCCGCGUGUUGGCAUCAUCACCCGGGACCGGUCACUGACCCAACCUUGACCCGGCCACGAUGGAGGGCUGAGCGCACCUGGGAGCGAUGGCCGUGGAGAUGACACUGAGUUGCUCAAGUUCUCCCAGCGGCCCUCUCGCCAUGCAGUACGUGAACGACUUUGACCUCCUGAAAUUCGAAGUCAAGAAGGAGCCAAUGGCGAACGUCGCCGAUCUUUCAGGACCAGACUCCCCGCCCCGGAACGGAGUAGGCUGCGGUGGUGGCGGCGGUGGUGGUGCUGGUGGUGGUGCUGGUGGUGGUGCUGGCGGUGGUGGUGGAAGUGGCUGCAUUCGUCUCGGCUCCAUCUCCUCGACGCCUUGCAGCUCCGUGCCCUCGUCACCAAGUCUCAGCCCGUCGACAGACCUCAGAUCGCAUCAGUUGGAAGAGCUCUAUUGGAUGGGACCUGGUUAUGGGCAGCAGCAGCAGCAGCAGCAUCAACAACAUCAGCAGCAGCAGCCACCGCAGCAGCAGCAUCAGCAUCUCAACGCGGACCCUCUGAGUCUCACGCCGGAGGAUGCCGUCGAGGCGCUCAUCAACAGUGGCCACCACGGAACACCUCUACAUGGAUUCGAUUACAGGGGUCUGCCUCCGAACCAUCAGCAGCAGCAGCAACAUCAGCAGCAGCAGCAACAUCACAGCGACCAUCAGCAGGCCCCCUAUCUCCACGGCCCCGAGCUGGCUGAAGGACAUCACCACCAGCAGCAACAGCAUCACCACCACCAUCAGCAGCAGCAACAGCAGCCGCAGCCGCAACAACAGCAGCAGCACUUGCAAGGUGCGCUUCCUCUAACCGCCCACCACCACCAUCACAGCAACCACCACCACCACAGCAGCAGCAGUAGCAGCAGCAACCACCACCACCACCACCACCAUCACAACCUUCGUGUCGACGACCGUUUCUCGGACGACCAGCUGGUCUCCAUGUCCGUGCGCGAGUUGAACCGUCAACUCAGGGGCUUCAGCAAGGAGGAGGUCCUGCGGCUCAAGCAGAAGCGUCGGACCCUCAAGAACCGUGGCUACGCGCAGUCGUGCCGGCACAAGCGCGUGCAGCAGCGCCACCUGCUGGAGAACGAGAAGACGGACCUCCAACGGCAGGUGGACGCGCUGCGGAUGGAGUUGGCUCGUCUCGCUCGAGAGAGGGACGCGUACAAGGCAAGAUGCGAGCGUUUGUCAGCUGCGGUUACGUCCGGUGCAGCUCCGGCCGCCGUCGCCGCCGCUGCUGCUCAGUAUCAAGGAGACGAGAGGACGGGGAAAUCUUCCGACGCUUCCUCCUCCUCCGCUGCUGCUGCUGCACCAGCGCCCUCGCCUUCAGGAUACUACUCGUGAGAGACAGAGACAGAGAGAGAGAGAGACAGGGAGAGACAAAGGGGGACGAGAGAGACUCACCCACACACCCCGAUGGAUCGGAUGAAAACCCCUUCACGCGUCUCAUUUUUUAGUUGUGCUCCCUUUCUGCGCAAGAGCACAAGCGAAAGAGAGAGAGAGACACACACACAGGAGUGUACUGCCACCCUCUUUAGAUAUCUGUUUUCAACGAAUCGUGUUCAUCUCCUACUCCUCGUCACCACCGUUGCUGCUGCUGCUGUUGCUGUUGUUGUUGCUGCUGUUGUUGCUGUUGACGCUGGUGGCCGUCGCAGCAACAACGCCGAUGUCAGCGGACCGCGAGCUGCCGCGAGAACUCCGGCAAGCGACUUGCGGCGACGAGAGAGGCGAGGGAUCAGCGCCGCACGAAAACUACGAAUCCCGCUUGACCGAGGACGGUGUCGAUGACCUUCGCCGGAUCACAACAACAACAACAGCCGACAACAACAACUCGUGGAUUUUUUGCUGAUAAACCAGCGUUUUUAAAACUGGCAUGAAAAAUAAAAAAUAUAAAAAACGCUUAAACGACAGAAAUAAGCGUUGGAACAAACUGAGGACUUUUUAAUCAUCAGAACACUUUUUUUCUUUUGUAAACGCCUCGUGUAUAUAUUUUUUUGUUCUCUUUAAUUUUUUUUGUACACUGAAAAUGCAAUCGAACAGUUUCAGCUAUCAAAUGGAACUGCGAUGGACGUUAAAUCAUCGCUUGGUCAACCUCAACGAAGAACAUUUCACGAUAUUGGCAGGAUGAGUACUUUGAUUCGUCGCGCCGUGCAUCGAAGAAUUGGCCCAAGACCCGAAACGUUGGUGGGGGGGGGGGGACCCCACGGAUGAAAAUGGAAAACAAAAACACGUGGAAGAAAAACCAUGCAUACGCACGGCACUCUCAUCUGCAUCGCCCUCCAACAUGCGUUUGACCUCUCUAAGUCCCCGGCAUUGACGUCAUCUUGUGAGUCGCAAAUAAACAAAAAAAAGAGAACGACAUGACGUCACUCGGUGCACGCGGUGACGCGCCGCGAGAUGACGUCGCACGGGCGAGGCGCGUGCAUGGCGCGUGAUGACGUCGUCGAAGAGGAUCUUCGUCGUUUUAAUUAUAGAUUUGAAGCUUUCGUGACUGCAAUGAUUCAUAUUCUUAGGUUUUUUCGGUAAGGUCACGUAGGUAAAAAAAAAUUUAAACUAAAAUUGAUAAAACUAAAAUUAUUUUACUUUAUUAAAACUAAAAUUGAUAGAAGUAAAAUUAUUUUACUUUUAUAAAUUUUAGUUUACAUUUUUUACCUACUUGACUUUACCGAAAAACCCCAAGAAUAUGAAUACUUCGUCGUUUUGUGCACGUGUCGAUGGGUUUGUGAGUGCGCAGGUCUUGACUCUCCGUCCAAUUUCAUUUGCUCAGCUUUAUGCAGGGGGGGGGGGGGGGUGUAAGUCCCGGCGUAGCGACAGAAACAACAUUCAAGUUGAUAUUCGAUCAUCGUUACAAGAGUUAUUGUGACCUCCCCCCGCCAUCAGCCCCGUGUUCCAGACGGACGGACAGACAUGGCCGAUGCAUUUGUUGCAAAGCAUUAAGCGAGACACGAAUAUGCUCCCAUCACCGAUAAGGUGCCGUGGUACAUUAUAAAAUCAUUAGAAACAGUGGGGAAAUUGGGGAGGCGUUCAUCCAGCGGUGGAUUGACCACGGCUGACGAUGAUGAACGACUAUGAGAAAUGGAAUAAUCAGAGUUAGAAUGUUUAUUUAUACCGGAGGAGGAAUCCGAUGAUCUGCGAAGCUCUUUUUCACAGAUGUCCUGUAGGAGGCUGGUCAGAACGUUACAGCAAACAGUUACACAAACGCGAUAGGAGUGCAAAGAAUAAGAAAGGUGAACAGGCCACAUAGAUCUUCUUGGUUCUUUCGGUAAAGUCACGUAGAAUGGAAAUAAUAAAAUAAUAAAAAUAAAACUGAAUAAAAGAAUUCUCACGACGUUUCGGCCACAACGCAAGCAGCCGUCCUCAGGUGAAGAACAGGUCUGAAUGACACACCCCAGGCUUGGAGCGACUAUUUAAGCUGGGAUGGAAGGGGAAGAGCGCCUUGACAAAAUAAUUUGCAUAUCAAGAGGAAUUUAGCAUAUUUAUGGGAAAUAUUUAUGGGAAAUCCACAUAGACAUAUACAACUAAACUAAUUUUAUUUUACCAGGUAAAACCCCGCCGAGGUAUUAACUUAUUUUUCAGAAGAGACCUGGCCACAAACGAUAGCAAAAACACAUUCCUGCGGAGGGAGCUGGUAGGAACGUUGGGUUGCUCGGUCAAUGGCCAGGAUCAACGGCGGCGUGGUGUAUUCCGCAAAUAUGGCCGACUGUGAGGGCGGGCACAAGCCGACGUGAGUAGGUUAAACGUUGAGUUUUAUAAGGGCACCACGGGGUGACCAGCCCCUCCUCACCCAGCCCCUCCCUACCCUUUACUCCCCACUCAGCCCCUCCCCACCCUCCCCUCUCCACCCAGCCCGACCCCUCCCAUUUUUGGAUGCACGACGGACGGACGGACGGACACAAUAAUCCCCUGUGGGCUGGUGGAACCAGGUGGUUCUACCAGUAUAAUCUCAAUAAUCUCAAUGCAUGUUGCUCAAUGUGGAUGAAAGUGUGGUUACCCCCACCUCUCUAUGCGCGUCUGGCCCCAGCGUUGGACGAAUCGUGGAUCAUCACGUGGAGAUGUUUAGCAGCCGAAUAAUCUCAUCGGAAAGCAGGCACCGGAGGGUUAACACAGCGCCAUCUGUAUCAUAUUUAAAAUAUAGAAAUAUAUCUCUUCCCGCGGCAAACACGUCUAUUAUUGAUUUACCUCCCCAAGAGCCGAAUGGCUCACAGGGUUAUACAUAAUAAAUGAACUAAACUGAACUUAUCCAGCCCCUCUUUGCUACAGCAGCAGCAGCAGUAGUAGCGGCAGAA